CGCCAGCCCCGCGCUCUACCAGGCAGAGCGCGUGUGGCCGCCGAGCACAUGGACCCACUGGUCAAGCGGGCUCGGCAAGGCCAGGAUGAAGAGAAGCUACGAACUUAGCAUUCCCAGAGCCCCCCGAGUGGAUAUCCGCGUGGAAAGGAUGUUGGCAGCCCCGGUGACCUCGGAGUCACGGCUGGAUCCACCCUCUUAGAGCCGAGUUCUGUCACCACAGACAUUGGCAGUGGCACUUGCAUGCCCCUGGCAAGCAGUCUAUCCUGAGGUGGAGGAAGUUGCCCUUGAGUUCUGGCUGGUAACCAGCACAGUAUACCCUUUAAGCGUUCCAGAAGGAUUUUGAGAUCCUUUCCUAAAUCAAAGGUGGAAUAUUUGGGGAUUUGGAAAAUUGAGCAUUUUUUUCCCCACUUGCUUGACUGUAAUGCUAACAUGCUCUCUCUGCUCCAACCUGGAGAAGCCAGUCUCUCAGAAGAACCAGUUGUGUUACUUUGCUGUGAGAUGCCUGCCCUAAGAGAGGAGCAGAAGGUCGGAACGGGUCCUCUAAUGUGAUAAUUAGGCUUCAGAGAAAUCAGGAGCGGUGAAUGAUCGAAAUGGACCUUUGAGAUUACAGUGUGGAGCUGACAUUGCCAGUUAAGCCUGGGCAGAUCUGACUUAAUUGAUUUAGUUGUUGGAGCAGAGACAACCCAGAGGCUUGGAUCAGCCUCCCCAUCUGACAGUGUGCUGAUGUGAAGCGUUGACUUAAGAGAUGCCAAGUAACUCAGCAGAUGUCACACAGACGAUAAAUAGCAAAGAUGGAAGUCUUCAUGCCGGAGGCAAUCCUAUAAGACAGCUGAGUUCUGCAGAGCUGGUAGGAGACAGACUUGCUCAGGUGAUAGAUCCAGCCAUGAUACUGACCCUAAGAGAAUGAGACGCUCUGCAGAAGACAGAAGAUUCCUGAAACUGGGAAAGGUGCCUAGAAAUCCUGAUAAGAGUGAAGAAGGAGCUGGCAGAGCAGCCUUCCUCCGCACUAUGAAAGACAUCCAACAGAGAGCAAGUUCCCACCUCACUUCCAGCUUGACUCCUUUUUAUCUCCUAACUGUGGUCUGUGAUGUCUUCAGCAAUGGGUACCUGGAGGCACAGCAGCCAUGUUGAACCUAUGAGGUGAUGAAAAACCAUGCAACUAGAAACCAGAAUGGAAGAAAAGAAGAAGCUGGAUCCUUGACUGAAUUGUCGAUGGGGGAUAGUCCAUCAUCCCAGGGCUAAGACCACCUCCAGAUUUCUUGUUUGGUGAAACAAGUCCUGAUUGUUUACAUUCCCUCGUGUUGAGCUGUCUCUUGCUUGUAGCUGAAAGCAUUUCUAAUAGAUAUUCAGAUUAUCAGCCUUAGCUCCAAGCUAGAAUACUCUAUGGGACCUUAGCUUCUCCAUGAAUUCCUUUGCUCAUCUGUGUAAUGCUCAAUAAAUGUAAAUUGAACCC
This 1453-nucleotide long non-coding RNA is filed under the name Mus musculus (house mouse). Its description in RNAcentral is "Pvt1 oncogene". The stretch from base 41 to 197 matches the Rfam family "Pvt1 oncogene conserved region 1". The record is from RNAcentral. Lineage: Eukaryota; Metazoa; Chordata; Mammalia; Rodentia; Muridae.